AUGGCUCCUACCGAGGCUGAGGAUGAUGUAGAGGAGGGAGAAGAGAAGAAGAAGAGGGAAAGGAAAGCAGCCGGAGCUGCUUUCACGUGGAUUCAAAAUAACUUUGCGACGUGCCCUCCGGAUGCCACUGAUGAUGUGAUCCAGACACAUGCUUGUGUGUAUAUGUGGUACGUUGUGUCGAGGACUUUGUUUCCUGACUCCACUGGCAAGAACGCUCCAUGGAUGUGGCUGAAGACGUUGACCAUCUUCGAUAGCAAAUGGAGCUGGGGUUCAGCGACUCUUGCCUACUUGUACCGACAGGUAGUUUGUCUGUUUUGUGAUCAACUCAUUUCUUCAUUAGCAAUGCAAGCUUGCUGUCAAGUUAACAUUGUUUUUCUUUCAUAUGUAGCUGGACAAUGCGUGUUGCAGGAUCACACCUAG
RNAcentral lists this ribosomal RNA (420 nucleotides) under Triticum aestivum (bread wheat). RNAcentral's name for it is "partial small subunit ribosomal RNA". The record is from RNAcentral. Lineage: Eukaryota; Viridiplantae; Streptophyta; Magnoliopsida; Poales; Poaceae.